ACUACAAGAAAACAAAGUUUUUGCGACUAAUUUAUUGACGACGAAAAUAUCUUUCAUCGUCAAUAAGGAUAUUUACGAUGAAAAACUAAAUUCAUCGUUAAUAAUAAAUUAUUUACAAUAAAAAUUAUUUUUCAUCGCAAAUAGAUACAUAUUUGCGAUGAAAAAAAAAAUUUAUCGUAAUUACAUAUUAUUUAUGAUGAAAUUAAUCAUCAUA
This 214-nucleotide long non-coding RNA is filed under the name Elaeis guineensis (African oil palm). RNAcentral describes it as "long non-coding RNA (EGUI_LNC012182)". Lineage: Eukaryota; Viridiplantae; Streptophyta; Magnoliopsida; Arecales; Arecaceae. The record is from RNAcentral.